CAUUAGAUUACUUAAAUGCAAGUGUUGGUCUCUUAAACCAAAUUAUAGUAAAGUAAGCGAAUACUUCUAAUGG
Molecule: transfer RNA, 73 nt
Filed under: Japanagallia multispina
Lineage: Eukaryota; Metazoa; Arthropoda; Insecta; Hemiptera; Cicadellidae
Description: tRNA-Lys
Source: RNAcentral